UGUCAUCGGCAAACCGAAGAUGAGUGA
This 27-nucleotide small RNA is filed under the name Bombyx mori (domestic silkworm). Its description in RNAcentral is "ovarian small RNA-3873". The record is from RNAcentral. Lineage: Eukaryota; Metazoa; Arthropoda; Insecta; Lepidoptera; Bombycidae.